UCUUUGGUAGUACGGAGGUCAGUAUUCAAGCUUGUCAGUUGCCUCAGAUUCCACUAAGCAGCUGAGCUCGCUUGAGACUCGGGUUCGAUUCCCAGCGGAAGAG
This is a non-coding RNA of Cryphonectria parasitica EP155, 103 nucleotides long. The record is from the annotation of a RefSeq genome assembly. Lineage: Eukaryota; Fungi; Ascomycota; Sordariomycetes; Diaporthales; Cryphonectriaceae.